GCCCGUGCUCCGCAACAAGAGAAGCCACCGCAAUGAGAAGCCCGCGCACCGCAACGAAGAGUAGCCCCCGCUCGCCCCAACUGGAGAAAGCCCACGCGCAGCAACAAAGACCCAACGCUGCCAAAAAUAAAUAAAUAAAUUUCAAAAAAAGAAAAGAAAUAAGCCUCCAGAAAUCCGGAGCACUGAGACAAUAUUAAUUGAGCUGGGUUAGCACAUGUAGCGCAUGCACCCGGCUCCCGGGGCUGAUGAGGGGAUGACAGAUGAACCCAAGUGGGGCAAGAGGACGCGCCAAGGGCUCCAUUUAAUAAAUCAGCUGACACUCCCCUGCAUUUGCAUUGCUAAUGGCGGUACCUAAACCCCAGGUGUUGCUGCAGAAACUUGUCCUGCUGCUGCCUCCCCAUCUGUAACUCCCAAGGGAGUUGGCAAAGGGUAGCAGGGUGCUGGGUGGUGAGGUCUGAAACACAUUUUAAAAUCAGCCUGGAGCUGGCGGAUAACGACAUGUCCAAAAGAUCUGGCCACACAUGUGUAGGUUUGGUGUCCUAACGAGCACCUCAAAGCCUGGGUCACAGGGUCCCCAAGGCAGAGCUGUGCUGGAAUGGGGCACCAGGGCAUCCAGCCCCCAGAUGCCUCCUUCUCAGGCUACUGAGCUCCCAGACAUUCCACCAUGAGUUCAUUUGCUCACCAGAGAGGACCUCCAGAUACAAUGAGAAGUUGGCAGUCUACAACCAGAAGAGGGUCCUCACCAGAACCCAACCAUGCUGGCACCUUGAUCUUGGACAUGCAGCCACCAGAACUGUUUCUUCACCCAUCUCAUGCUGUGUUGGUACUUCCACCUGCCUUGAGGCUGUUUCCCAAGGCAGAAUCAAACAGUGGCUGUAGGAUAUUUGGUGAUAGCAUUAACAGUUCUCUCCUUGGUGAGCAUAUUAAAAUCAAUUCAACUAUCCUUUCUGAAGAAUAGAGCUGGGUGCUAAGGAGAAUGCCAUCACCAGGCAGGCUCUGUGCAUGCCCUGUAACAGUUCGUGAUAAGGAAACAUGGAAUUCAAUUCAAUGAAGACACAGAAAGGAAACACGGAAUUCAAUUCAAUGAAGACACAGACCUUCCCCCACCUGCUGCAUCAAAGUUGGAAUUAAUCACUAUUUCAUGUGAUAUAGAUUCCUAUAUAAUUUUGAAUGUACAUUGAGUAAAAGGAUUGGAAAGAUCUUUUUGGCUGGCUAAACAUGAGGUGUUCUAAUACUAUUGUACCUGCAAAGUUGUCAAGAAUUUAUUUCAGAGAAGAUUUGAAAGCGUUUGCAAAGUCGUGUUGUAUUAAACAGAUAUAAAUGUAGUCUUUGUUUAGGAACGUUUCUUUGAAGGGGUCUGGGUAACAUCCUACCUGUCCUGGAAGCAUGGAAAAUUGUGAUAUGUGCUAACUAUAAUCAAUGGAAUCUGUGAGAUUACCAAAGCACCUGGUACAAGGAAAUUCUCCAGGGACAACCAACUCUGGACAAUGCCCCUCACUCUCUCAGCCUUAAUGUGUCAGCAGCAAGCCUUGCUUUAUAUGACAUUCUGAAGGAAACGGACGGAUGUGUCAUCAUUGAAUCACUGAGAACUAUAGCCCCAGCAUGAUCUCAACUAUGAAAAUACAGAUUAGAAAAUUGAGGUUCAGAUCGGAUAAGCACCUGCUCACACGCAGCUAGUAAAUAGUGGAGCCAGGAUUGGAACCCAAGUAAUUAAUUCAAGAGCAUCAACCAGAAGGCUAUGCUGCUUCUCACAAAUACAGAUGAGGGGAGUGAGGCACAGAGGUAAUGGAAGGUGCCAUUAUGGAAAGCCUAUUACACAGCAGGUCCCAUCCGUGGGUGUCUUCCAUGGUGACAGCAGUGGUGAGCAGUGGACUCCUGGUACCAUCUUGGGAAGAAAGGAAGUGAACUGGCAAACUCUUGGGAGGGCAGAAGCCUAACUCUCAUGUUUGUGCCCUUCACGAUAAGUGAAGAAAGGAGCGAAGAGAAGAACAGGGUGGCCACAAACAAAAGCUGGAAUUGUUUGAGAAAUGGACCCUUUUCAGAAGCCUUCAAAGCCACCCUUUCACAAAGCCUGGCAGGCAUACAGUAUUGAGCCUGGGUGUCCGCCAAGCAUGGCCUUAAUUUAUUAUUGCCAAACUGUUUGUUGUCUUUAUUUGCCAAGACUUACUAAUCGAACGUUUUUUUGGUCUGGCUGCCCUUCCAGAGAACUGGAGCUAUUGUUAUCUGCUCCUCGAGUCCUUCCACAGAAUGUGCCAAAAACUUGACCCGAGUUGUGGCUGAUUUCCCUCCUCUGUUCAGGCUGUGAACCACAUGAGUGUUGAGAUCCACCCAAGUCCUUAUGGUGGUUAAAGCAGAGCAUCUGAAGUCAGACAGACUUGGAUUUCAAUCCUCUUUCUACCUUCACUAGACACGUGUCUUUGGGCUAGUUACUUUACCUCUCCUCGCCUCAAUUUUCUCUAUUGUGUAAUAUGAACAAUGUACCUACCUUGUAGGAUUGUUGUGACAAUUAAAUAACGAAUCAAGGAAGGCACUUUAUAUAGUCCUAACACAUAUACUCAUUAUUUUGUUGUCGUUGUUAUCUCCAGCACUUAGCCCAGUGCCCUGCAAAUAUAUGCAAAUAGAUGAAUGAGUAAUUGAGUCAUCUUCUCUCACCUUCCUUACCUCCACAAUGGGACACUGGCUCUACAAAGUAAUCCUCACUAGGAUGAAAACAGUCUCUUCUUAUUCCUGGACGAAGCCUUAGUUUCCACAGAGGAGGUCUUCUAUGCCUACAGGAAAUUGACAGGGGUCCAAACAGGACAAAUAAGUGCAAGACAAAUAGAGGCUGACCUCAUUUCCACCCUUGAGACUCCUAUUAGCCUGAUAUGAAAUGACCAUGUGGGGAGGCAGCAAGGUUCCUGUCCCAAGGAGACCCAUGAUGCUGUUCAUCAGCUCCAUUCUGGACCAUCUUCCCCAGUUCUGCUUCAGAGAAGUAGUUCUUUCUUCUUAAUGGCUGUCACCUGCCAAAAUACUCUCCACCCCAUUCCUGAGUCUUGGGCACUUCCUCCACACUAGGAACCUCUCCCAGAUAGUCCCGUUGCCUGUUAGGCAACUUCUUUCGAUCAAUGUUAAAAGCCUUUGGACUCCUCCCUAAGUACCUCACCUCCUGUCCCCACCUACUUCUGAGCGACCUGGCAAAGACCACAUCUGUGAAUCAGUUUGCUAACUCUUAAAAGGGGUGGGUGAGGGCGAAGCUUUGACAACCUGAUUUCUCACUGUGUUUGCUUUUGAGGGAGGAGUUCACAGUGAAAGAAAGCAUCACUUUAAGCCUCUAAAGAGCCCCUUGGUAUAUGAAGCAGGAUUCACAUAGAGCCUGAGAACCGCUAAGCAACCAGGAAGACACUGAGUGAAGAGAAAGCUUAGAAGCAGGAAGGGGUCAAGUUCAUUUAGCAUAGAGUUCAUGGCUCCAUUUUAACAACUGGUUCCUAAUAUGCCUAAGGUUAGCAAGCAUCUCAGGGCUUGCUUCAAACAAAAUCUGAAGCCAUUCCCCUUAUUGAAAUCUAUUAUUGCUUCAUUGAUUGACGUUCUUAAUCCUCAUAACCAAAAAAAGCAAUUAUUGCCUUUAUGGAGUUUCUUUGUUCAGUUAUGUACAUAGAAACGUGCCUUCCCUGAUGACAAUAUACAGCACAGAUCAAGGCAAUGUAAGAUUAAAGUGAUCUGGACCCAGAAGAACUAAAGCUAUAAGCAUCAGAGAGCAUGAGGGACAGAGCAUUGACCUUAUUUUUUUUUAAUCAUGAAAAAGACUCCCCAUUUUCUGUUUUUUUGUUUUUUGUGGUACGCGGGCCUCUCACUGUUGUGGCCUCUCCCGUUGCGGAGCACAGGCUCCGGACGCAUAGGCUCAGCGGCCAUGGCUCACGGGUCCAGCCGCUCUGCGGCACGUGGGAUCUUUCCGGACCGGGACACGAACCCGUGUCCCCUGCAUCGGCAGGCGGACUCUCAACCACUGCGCCACCGGGGAAGCCCCCAUUUUCUGUUAUUUUAAUAUUAGGGACUUAUAACAACUAUUUCUACUUUGUUGAAAUU
Long non-coding RNA from Orcinus orca (killer whale), 4062 nucleotides. RefSeq lists it as uncharacterized. The record is from RefSeq and is a predicted model, not a curated record. NCBI's taxonomy places the organism in Eukaryota, Metazoa, Chordata, Mammalia, Artiodactyla, Delphinidae. The transcript has 7 exons.